This 175-nucleotide unclassified non-coding RNA is filed under the name uncultured Glomus. RNAcentral's name for it is "sequence contains 18S rRNA gene". It matches the Rfam family "Eukaryotic small subunit ribosomal RNA", at positions 569 to 745 of the family's 1831-position model. The record is from RNAcentral. Lineage: Eukaryota; Fungi; Glomeromycota; Glomeromycetes; Glomerales; Glomeraceae.
AGCAGCCGCGGUAAUUCCAGCUCCAAUAGCGUAUAUUAAAGUUGUUGCAGUUAAAAGCUCGUAGUUGAACUUCGGGGUUUACCCAUUGGUCAGGCUUAAUUGUCUGCACUGGUGAGAUGGAUCUCUACCUUCUGAGGAACUUUCAUGCCAUUUAUUUGGUGUGAUGGGAAAUCAG